AAACUUGCCAACCUGAAGAGAAGGACACAGGGCUGGCUGGCUUUGCCACCUGCUGAUUGUAGAGGCUGGGGACUUUCAGCAAACACAGAGCUUUGAUGCAUCUCCCCUGAAUUUAGAAAAUAGGAUGCAUGUUCCCUCCGGGAUAGGGUCUAUGUAUAGCAUGGCAACUUAUACAGUUGUAUUUAGUACGGAUGGAGAUGGAAUUCUAACCAAGAGAACAUGAAGACGUGAACUAUAUUGAAGUCCCUAUGCAAAUCUUCAUAAUGCCCAGGGGACUCUAUCUCAACUUCAAGAUGCAAACCUUUACAAGCAUGCAGCUGUUCCAGACAUCAAUAAUGC
Long non-coding RNA from Homo sapiens (human), 339 nucleotides. RefSeq lists it as uncharacterized. Lineage: Eukaryota; Metazoa; Chordata; Mammalia; Primates; Hominidae. The transcript is spliced from 3 exons. The record is from RefSeq and is a predicted model, not a curated record.